AGUUUGAUUAUGGCUCAGAUUGAACGCUGGCAGGAUGCUUUACACGCGCAUGCAAGUCGAACGGCAGCACGGACUUCGGUCUGGUGGCGAGUGGCGAACGGGUGAGUAAUGUAUCGGAACGUGCCUAGUAGCGGGGGAUAACUACGCGAAAGCGUAGCUAAUACCGCAUACGCCCUUCGGGGAAGCGAGACUGCUGGGCCUCUCGCACUAUUAGAAACGGCCGAUAUCGGAUUAGCUAGUUGGUGGGUAACGGCUCACCAAGGCGACGAUCAUGGCUGGUUCUUCGAGGACCGUCAACCCGCUGGGACUGAGUUGGCCAGACUCCUACGGGAGGCAGCAGUGGAAUUUUGGACAAUGGAAACCCUGAUCCGGCUGCUCGCGUGUGCGAUGAAGGCCUUCAGGUUGUAAAGCACUUUUGCGGCGGGAAGAAGCAGCUGGGAUACCCCGUGCAACUGACGGUACCUGCAGAAUAAGCACCAAGCUAACUACGUACCAGCAGCCGCGGUAAUACGUAAGAUUGCAGCGUUAAUCGGGAGUACUGGGCGUAAAGCGUGCCAGACGGUUCGGAAAGAAAUGAAAUCCCAGAGCUUUAACGCAGGAACUGCGUUUUUUAACUACCGAGCUAGAAGUGUCCCAGAGGAAGGUGGAAUUCCGUGUAGCAGUGAAAGAGAAUGCGUAGAUAUGCGGAAGGUACCGAUGGCGAAAAUGACCCUCGCAGGACGACUUACUGACGCUCAUGCACGAAAGCGUGGGGAGCAAACAGGAUUAGAUACCCUGGUAGUCCCGCCCCGCGACAGUCAUCGCUAGCUGUUGAGGCCUUCGGGCCUUGAGCAGCGCAGCUAACGCGUGAAGUUGACCGCCUGGGGAGUACGGUCGCAAGAUUAAAACUCAAGGAAUUGGCAGGACCACAAGCAGUGGAUGAUGUGGAUAAUUCGAUGCAACGCGAAAACCUUACCUACCCUUGACAUGUCUGGAAUCCCGAAGAGAUUUGGAGUGCUCGCAAGAGAACCGGAACACAGGUGCUGCAUGGCUGUCGUCAGCUCGUGUCGUGAGAUGUUGGGUUAAGUCCCGCAUAGCUUAGGCGCAACCCUUGUCAUUAGUUGCUACGAAGGGCACUCCUAAUGAGACUGCCCAUUAUAAACCGGAGGAAGAUGAGGAUGACGUCAAGUCCUCAUGGCCCUUAUGGGUAGGGCUUCACACGUCAUACAAUGGUCGGGACAGAGGGUCGCCAACCCGCGAGGAGCCAAUCCCAGAAACCCGAUCGUAGUCCGGAUCGCAGUCUGCAACUCGACUGCGUGAAGUCGGAAUCGCUAGUAAUCGCGGAUCAGCAUGUCGCGGUGAAUACGUUCCCGGGUCUUGUACACGCCCGUCACCAUGGGAGUGGGUUUACCAGAAGUAGUUAACCUAACCGUAAGGAGGGCGAUUGCCACGGUAGGAUUCAUGACUGGGGUGAAGUCGUAACAAGGUAG
This 1469-nucleotide ribosomal RNA is filed under the name uncultured Bordetella sp. Its description in RNAcentral is "partial 16S-23S ribosomal RNA intergenic spacer". It matches the Rfam family "Bacterial small subunit ribosomal RNA". Lineage: Bacteria; Pseudomonadati; Pseudomonadota; Betaproteobacteria; Burkholderiales; Alcaligenaceae. The record is from RNAcentral.